ACGGAAGGCAGCAGUGGGGAAUAUUGGGCAAUGGGCGAAAGCCUGACCCAGCAACGCCGCGUGAAGGAUGGCGGUUUUCGGAUUGUAAACUUCUUUGACUGAGGACGACAAUGACGGUACUCAGAAAACAAGCCACGGCUAACUACGUGCCAGCAGCCGCGGUAAUACGUAGGUGGCGAGCGUUGUCCGGAUUUACUGGGUGUAAAGGGCGUGUAGGCGGGAAAGCAAGUCAGAUGUGAAAACCCGAGGCUUAACUUCGGGACUGCAUUUGAAACUGUUUUUCUUGGGUGAUGGAGAGGUAAGCGGAAUUCCUAGUGUAGCGGUAAAAUGCGUAGAUAUUAGGAAGAACACCAGUGGCGAAGGCGGUCUACUGGACAGUAACUGACGCUGAGGCGCGAAAGCGUGGGGAGCAAACAGGAUUAGAUACCCUGGUA
Molecule: ribosomal RNA, 434 nt
Filed under: uncultured Oscillospiraceae bacterium
Lineage: Bacteria; Bacillati; Bacillota; Clostridia; Eubacteriales; Oscillospiraceae
Description: bacterial SSU rRNA
Rfam family: Bacterial small subunit ribosomal RNA
Source: RNAcentral